AUUAUUAAGUGGUUUUUCCCAUUCAAACCACUAUCUUAUCCAUUUGAGGUUCCAUAUUCAUUGGUUUUUAUACCAAUACCCAAAUUCCCCUAGUGUAGCAUGUUUUAGGUUUGAAUGAGAAAAGAGUUUAGGGUAUAUAUAUCCCUCUAAGCAAAUUUUCCUAACCAAGCGUUUUCCCAAAAUCAUAUUUUAUUUCCUGAUCCUAUUUUCCAGCAAAUUCUACUGCUAAACCAAUUAUCACUUUGUCCAUGCCCACACGUUAUCAUAAUAUCUGACAUCAUCCUAAGCCUCUAAUUUGAUUAUUACUCUCGUUUAAUACUCUUCGAUGACCUAUAUCUUGACAUAAGGAUGUCUUUCUGUAGUCUAGGUUCUUCCUUUCCUAAUCUCCAUUUCCACUUUCCUAGUAGGGUUA
RNAcentral lists this long non-coding RNA (412 nucleotides) under Vigna radiata. Its description in RNAcentral is "long non-coding RNA (VRAD_LNC007301)". Lineage: Eukaryota; Viridiplantae; Streptophyta; Magnoliopsida; Fabales; Fabaceae. The record is from RNAcentral.